This 347-nucleotide transfer-messenger RNA is filed under the name human gut metagenome. It matches the Rfam family "transfer-messenger RNA". From Rfam's summary of the family: Bacterial tmRNA, also known as 10Sa RNA or SsrA, is named for its dual tRNA and mRNA-like properties. Its role is to liberate the mRNA from a stalled ribosome. To accomplish this part of the tmRNA is used as a reading frame that ends in a translation stop signal. The record is from RNAcentral.
GGGGAUGUAAAGGUUUCGACGGGGACUGUGAACCACAGUAAGCGAGUAGCGGCGCGGACCCGCUAUAAAAGCCGCAAACUUUCAAUUAAACGACAACAAAACUGUUGCGUACGCAGCCUAAUUAGGCUGCCGUCCCUUCCGGAAGGACCGCGGUCCGGAAGGGGCGUCGAUGAGCGGUGCACGUGAACAGCCGUCUGUCUCGCCGGCUGUCAUGAUUCAGAGACUACCGUAACGGAAAGCCUGUUUGUGGGCGUUCCGCGAGGGGAAUCCUAAAGCACAAACUGCACUCGGAGAAAGCUGUGGCAAGUGGUUUUCGGACAGGGGUUCGAUUCCCCUCAUCUCCACCA